Molecule: ribosomal RNA, 253 nt
Filed under: uncultured bacterium
Lineage: Bacteria
Description: partial 16S ribosomal RNA
Rfam family: Bacterial small subunit ribosomal RNA
Source: RNAcentral
UACAGAGGGUGCGAGCGUUAAUCGGAAUCACUGGGCGUAAAGCGCGUGUAGGCGGCCCACUAAGUCUGAUGUGAAAGCCCGGGGCUCACCCCCGGAAGUGCAUUGGAAACUGGUGGACUCGAGUCCCGGAGAGGAGAGUGGAAUUCCUGGUGUAGCGGUGAAAUGCGUAGAUAUCAGGAGGAACACCGGUGGCGAAGGCGGCUCUCUGGACGGUGACUGACGCUGAGACGCGAAAGCGUGGGGAGCAAACAGG